This is a long non-coding RNA of Homo sapiens (human), 781 nucleotides long. RefSeq annotates it as ING2 divergent transcript. NCBI's taxonomy places the organism in Eukaryota, Metazoa, Chordata, Mammalia, Primates, Hominidae. The transcript is spliced from 3 exons. The record is from RefSeq and is marked predicted.
UGGGACCCGGGAGGGGAGGCGGCUCGGUCCUUCGUGCCGUCCUCCCCGCUGGGAGGGGCAGCUCCAGCUCCGCUCGGCUCGCUCCGCCCGGCCACACCGGCUUUUUCCCCAUCAGGCGGUCCGAGUGCGGCUCCUCGCGAGCCUGCAAAGGAGCAGCAGGCGGUUCCUUUUCGGACGACCUGGAGCGAGGCCUGCGGGACUGCGCGCCCCGGCGGGCGGCGUGCGGCUCCCGGCAUGCGCGGCGGCUGCGUUCCCGCCGCCUCCGAGCUCGCCUGGGGCUGCCGCCCGCCUCCUGCCGGGCCCUCGGGCUCGCCCGGCACCGCGGGGCUUGAUCAGGGAGAUAUUUUAGUACAACAUCUUUUCAUCACAGAAAUGAUAUCUUCAGGGAAAAGACUUCGAAAAAGUGCCUGAAGUGACACAACACAUGUUUUCUUCUGGUAUCUGGCUAAAGCCUUCUCUUCUAAGCAGCAUAAACUACUGCUGCCUACAUGUUGCCUGUUCAUAAAGGCUGAGGCAGGGGAGUCGCUUGAACUCGGGAGGCGGAGGUUGCAGUGAGCCGAGAUCAUGCCAUUUCCCUCCAGCCUGGCGACAGAGCAAGACUCCAUCUCAAAAAAAAGAAAAGAGAAGAAAAAAACAAAGAACUUUAUGCACCUUCUGGAAUAACAAAAUGCAAAUGUAAUGUUAUCUACCAGGAUAGAAAUUGGAGGCUAGAAUAUGUUGGGUAGGGUAGAGAGACUAGAGGGAAUGAUUUAGCAAUAAAAUAGGUUUAAAUAUCUUCUCA